RNAcentral lists this ribosomal RNA (497 nucleotides) under uncultured bacterium. RNAcentral's name for it is "partial 16S ribosomal RNA". It matches the Rfam family "Bacterial small subunit ribosomal RNA", at positions 28 to 507 of the family's 1533-position model. The record is from RNAcentral.
GAUGAACGCUGGCGGCGUGCCUAAUACAUGCAAGUCGAGCGAACGGACGAGAAGCUUGCUUCUCUGAUGUUAGCGGCGGACGGGUGAGUAACACGUGGAUAACCUACCUAUAAGACUGGGAUAACUUCGGGAAACCGGAGCUAAUACCGGAUGAUAUUUUGAACCGCAUGGUUCAAAAGUGAAAGACGGUCUUGCUGUCACUUAUAGAUGGAUCCGCGCUGCAUUAGCUAGUUGGUAAGGUAACGGCUUACCAAGGCAACGAUGCAUAGCCGACCUGAGAGGGUGAUCGGCCACACUGGAACUGAGACACGGUCCAGACUCCUACGGGAGGCAGCAGUAGGGAAUCUUCCGCGAUGGGCGAAAGCCUGACGGAGCAACGCCGCGUGAGUGAUGAAGGUCUUCGGAUCGUAAAACUCUGUUACUAGGGAAGAACAUAUGUGUAAGUAACUGUGCACAUCUUGACGGUACCUAAUCAGAAAGCCACGGCUAACUACGUG